RNAcentral lists this signal recognition particle RNA (299 nucleotides) under Oncorhynchus kisutch (coho salmon). RNAcentral describes it as "Metazoan signal recognition particle RNA (ENSOKIG00005048870.1)". It matches the Rfam family "Metazoan signal recognition particle RNA". From Rfam's summary of the family: The signal recognition particle (SRP) is a universally conserved ribonucleoprotein. It is involved in the co-translational targeting of proteins to membranes. The record is from Rfam by way of RNAcentral. Lineage: Eukaryota; Metazoa; Chordata; Actinopteri; Salmoniformes; Salmonidae.
GCUGGGUGCGGUUGCAUGUUCCUGUAAUCCAAGUCACUGGGAGGCUGAGGUUGGUGGAUCAAGUGAACUGAGUAGCUCUGGGCUGCAGCACACUAUGUCGAACGGGUGUCCACGCUAAGUUCGGUAUCGAUAUGGUGAUCCUGGGGGAGCCCGGGACCACCAGGUUGUCUAAGGAGGGGUGAACCGGCCCAGGUCGGAAACGAAGCAGGUCAAAUCCCCCGUGCUGUCCAGUAGUGGGAUAAUACCUGUGAGUAGAUGCUGCAGUGCAGCCUUGGCAAAACAUCGAGACCUAAUCUUUU